UUAUUCCCUUUUUCUUCUGUGACUUUAAUUAUACAUGUGUUAGACUAUUUAAAUAUAUCUUACAGAAUGCAGAUGAUUCUCUCCUUACAAACUAUUUUAUUUUUUUCUACAGUUUAUGUAAUUUCGAUUGGCCUGUCUUCAAGUUCACUUAGUCUUUUGUGUACUAUGUGUGUGCAAUUUGCUGUUAAUCUUAUCCAGUACAUUUUGAAAUGUAAAAUACAGUACAGUAUUUUUUUUUAUUUUUGGUUGUAGAAGUCUAUGUGAUUCUUCUCUCUUUAAAUCCUCUUUACCUACUAUAUUAUUAUUUAAUAUAUUAACAAUAAUUGUUUUAAACUUCUAUCUGCACCUUAGGUAAUGGGGUCAUCUGUAGUUCUGCUUAUUGGCUGUUUGUGUUCCAGACACUGUGAUAAGAAGAUCAAUAGAGGCGUUUCAUCUCUCAGACAAGCUGCAAUAAAGCUGGUACUUCAGAACACAAAAGCUAGAUUCCUGCUGUGACUUCUCAAAAACUGCUUCUCAAAAUACCCAUGCAACAGCUGACACAUAAAAAAUGUACAUGAAUGUCUGGAUGGCUUCCCAGACCUGUCUGGAAGUACACACCCAGUUUUCAGGUGAUGGAGAUGUCUUCAAAAUGUUGGACUUCUAGCAAGAGUUCUCUGCCUAAAACUGUGAGUCAUCCUCCAAGAUCUCCACUUACGAAGUCAUGGGGGUUCCAGUUAAUUAAGUAUGUGUUCUCUGCUUACAUGAGUGUUUCCCUGUGCUUUGCUUAAAACACGAGAACAAAAACAAAGCAUAUUUUUCUUAAUUCCUCAGUCAUUAUAUUUUCUCUUUCUGGAAGAUAGUCUAGAAAAAUUAAAAUCAAAAUCUUAUUAUAUUAACUGUGGAAACAAAUCUAAAACUUAGUAAAUUUUUUUAGUAAGUAACUAUGAACACAGAGGUGUGGAGUGAAAUUUCUGGUUCGUGGAAGAUACAAGUACAUGUUAGAGAAGAACGUUUAUUUCAAAUACAGGAAAAGACAGCAAUAUUACUCCACGAAUUUUGAUGGGUUCUCCCCCAGAAAAUUUGAUUUUCUGAUGUAGUGUGCAAGCUCAGUGUAGUAGACUCUUCAUGACCUACAGGUUUGAUAUCAUCAUAGUUUCUAGAAGACUCAAUUAUAAGAGACUUGAAAGUGUCGAGCCGCUUCACCAUAGCAGUAUAUCUGAGUUCUGUGUACCCGCAUUUUGACUAUCACUUUGACACACAAACCUAAAAGGAAAGUGGUUAUGGUAUGAACAUGUAAUAUAUUGAUUCUUAUUUAGGAAAGAUUUAGACCUGAAAUUAAGACUCACUAACAAUAGUAAAUAGUACUUAGUAAGUAGUAAGUACUCAGUAUUAGUAAAUCCCUUUCCUAGUACUGUUAUCAUCAUUGCAAAGGAAUUUUCUAUCCUCUUUUUUAAUGUUUCUCCUCAUAUUUAUAUGCAUAUAAAAAAGAAACAGUAGGAAAAGAGAGAAGAAUGAGGAAGAAAUUGGGAGAGAGAGAAAUUUAGAAUACUUUUUUCUUAGCUUGUAGGAUUUCAGCCUCCUAUUUGUGGUUAAAAAACUAAAAAGAAUGAAAUGACCAAUAUUGGCCAAACCAGAACAAUUAUUAGGCAUUUCCCAAACAUUACAUUUAAGGAGCAAAUGAUGCAAUAGCAAAAAAAAGAAACACCAAAAAGCAGAAAUAAAAUAAAAUAGGUAUAUGGUUUUACAAAAUAAAAUGGAAUUGGAUUUGAAAGACUGACCUGCUUGUCCACAUCAUUAGCAAGUUGUCCUUAACUAAUUUCACAUUAUUUUGUUGUUUUUGACCUUUGAGUUCACUGAACCAGUCCUGUUUCUUAUUGCCAUGAGACUAAUUUCUGACAUAUUCCUCUUGAUUUAUUACUGACAAACUAUGACUAAAAGUAGGCCUGUGCUACAUUUCCAUCAUCUGGAAAUGAUAAAAACUUGCAAAAUAUAUUUUGAGUAUUCAUAUAUUCAACUGUUACCCACCAGUUGAAUAGUUUCAUCACUCUUGAAACUUCU
Molecule: long non-coding RNA, 2037 nt
Organism: Pan troglodytes (chimpanzee)
Lineage: Eukaryota; Metazoa; Chordata; Mammalia; Primates; Hominidae
Source: Ensembl